AUCCAGCUGACGAGUCCCAGAUAGGAUUAAACGCGUGUCCUGGAU
Non-coding RNA from Schistosoma mattheei, 45 nucleotides. The record is from Rfam. NCBI's taxonomy places the organism in Eukaryota, Metazoa, Platyhelminthes, Trematoda, Strigeidida, Schistosomatidae.